GACGAACGCUGGCGGCGUACCUAAUACAUGCAAGUCGAACGCAGUGGGGACGGGUGAUUAACACGUUGGUAACCUCCCAUCAGCAGGGAUAACACUUGGAAACAGGUGCUAAACCGAACACUGCUGGAUGGACCAGCGGGGCAUUAGGUAGUUGUAGAGGUAACGGCUCACCAAGGCCACGAUGCCUAGCCGACCUGCGAGGGGGACGUGCCACACUGGGCCUGAGACACGUCCCAGAAUCCUCCGGGAGGCAGCAGCAGGGAAGCUUCGUCAAUGGACGAAAGUCUGACCGAGCAACGCCGCGUGAGUGAAGAAGGUUUUCGGAUCGUAAAACUCUGUUGUUAGAGAAGCGGUAUCUAACCAGAAAGCCACGGCUAACUCCGUGCCAGCAGCCGCGGUAAUUC
This 404-nucleotide ribosomal RNA is filed under the name uncultured bacterium. RNAcentral's name for it is "partial 16S ribosomal RNA". It matches the Rfam family "Bacterial small subunit ribosomal RNA", at positions 28 to 526 of the family's 1533-position model. The record is from RNAcentral.